This 301-nucleotide ribosomal RNA is filed under the name uncultured bacterium. RNAcentral's name for it is "partial 16S ribosomal RNA". It matches the Rfam family "Bacterial small subunit ribosomal RNA", at positions 509 to 807 of the family's 1533-position model. The record is from RNAcentral.
CAGCCUCCGCGGUAAUACGUAGGGUGCAAGCGUUGUCCGGAAUUAUUGGGCGUAAAGAGCUCGUAGGCGGUUUGUCGCGUCUGCUGUGAAAUCCCGAGGCUCAACCUCGGGCUUGCAGUGGGUACGGGCAGACUAGAGUGCGGUAGGGGAGAUUGGAAUUCCUGGUGUAGCGGUGGAAUGCGCAGAUAUCAGGAGGAACACCGAUGGCGAAGGCAGAUCUCUGGGCCGUAACUGACGCUGAGGAGCGAAAGCGUGGGGAGCGAACAGGAUUAGAUACCCCAGUAGUCCCUGUCUCUUAUAC